RNAcentral lists this ribosomal RNA (491 nucleotides) under uncultured bacterium. RNAcentral's name for it is "partial 16S ribosomal RNA". It matches the Rfam family "Bacterial small subunit ribosomal RNA", at positions 29 to 507 of the family's 1533-position model. The record is from RNAcentral.
GUGAACGCUGGCGGUAGGCCUAACACAUGCCAGUCGAACGGCAGCACAGUAAGAUCUUGCUCUUACGGGUGGCGAGUGGCGGACGGGUGAGGAAUACAUCGUAAUCUACUUUUUCGUGGGGGAUAACGUAGGGAAACUUACGCUAAUACCGCAUACGACCUACGGGUGAAAGCAGGGGAUCUUCGGACCUUGCGCGAUUGAAUGAUCCGAUGUCGGAUUAGCUAGUUGGCGGGGUAAAGGCCCACCAAGGCGACGAUCCGUAGCUGGUCUGAGAGGAUGAUCAGCCACACUGGAACUGAGACACGGUCCAGACUCCUACGGGAGGCAGCAGUGGGGAAUAUUGGACAAUGGGCGCAAGCCUGAUCCAGCCAUACCGCGUGGGUGAAGAAGGCCUUCGGGUUGUAAAGCCCUUUUGUUGGGAAAGAAAAGCAGCAGGUUAAUACCCCGCUGUUCUGACGGUACCCAAAGAAUAAGCACCGGCUAACUUCGUG